CCGAGUUUCUACUCUCAAACCCUUGCAAACCUACCUGUCACGAUGCUUCGGCGACCGGCCCUCGGGGGGGCGUCACAAGCGGUCGCCGACAGUAUUCAAAAAUCUAUUUUUUUUCAGAGUCUCUGAAUGACCUAAAAAACAAAUCA
RNAcentral lists this unclassified non-coding RNA (146 nucleotides) under uncultured fungus. RNAcentral's name for it is "sequence contains ITS1". The record is from RNAcentral. Lineage: Eukaryota; Fungi.